UUAGAGUUUGAUCCUGGCUCAGGACGAACGCUGGCGGCGUGCCUAAUACAUGCAAGUCGAGCGAGCGGAACUAACAGAUUUACUUCGGUAAUGACGUUAGGAAAGCGAGCGGCGGAUGGGUGAGUAACACGUGGGGAACCUGCCCCAUAGUCUGGGAUACCACUUGGAAACAGGUGCUAAUACCGGAUAAGAAAGCAGAUCGCAUGAUCAGCUUUUAAAAGGCGGCGUAAGCUGUCGCUAUGGGAUGGCCCCGCGGUGCAUUAGCUAGUUGGUAAGGUAAAGGCUUACCAAGGCGAUGAUGCAUAGCCGAGUUGAGAGACUGAUCGGCCACAUUGGGACUGAGACACGGCCCAAACUCCUACGGGAGGCAGCAGUAGGGAAUCUUCCACAAUGGACGCAAGUCUGAUGGAGCAACGCCGCGUGAGUGAAGAAGGUUUUCGGAUCGUAAAGCUCUGUUGUUGGUGAAGAAGGAUAGAGGUAGUAACUGGCCUUUAUUUGACGGUAAUCAACCAGAAAGUCACGGCUAACUACGUGCCAGCAGCCGCGGUAAUACGUAGGUGGCAAGCGUUGUCCGGAUUUAUUGGGCGUAAAGCGAGCGCAGGCGGAAGAAUAAGUCUGAUGUGAAAGCCCUCGGCUUAACCGAGGAACUGCAUCGGAAACUGUUUUUCUUGAGUGCAGAAGAGGAGAGUGGAACUCCAUGUGUAGCGGUGGAAUGCGUAGAUAUAUGGAAGAACACCAGUGGCGAAGGCGGCUCUCUGGUCUGCAACUGACGCUGAGGCUCGAAAGCAUGGGUAGCGAACAGGAUUAGAUACCCUGGUAGUCCAUGCCGUAAACGAUGAGUGCUAAGUGUUGGGAGGUUUCCGCCUCUCAGUGCUGCAGCUAACGCAUUAAGCACUCCGCCUGGGGAGUACGACCGCAAGGUUGAAACUCAAAGGAAUUGACGGGGGCCCGCACAAGCGGUGGAGCAUGUGGUUUAAUUCGAAGCAACGCGAAGAACCUUACCAGGUCUUGACAUCUAGUGCCAUUUGUAGAGAUACAAAGUUCCCUUCGGGGACGCUAAGACAGGUGGUGCAUGGCUGUCGUCAGCUCGUGUCGUGAGAUGUUGGGUUAAGUCCCGCAACGAGCGCAACCCUUGUUAUUAGUUGCCAGCAUUAAGUUGGGCACUCUAAUGAGACUGCCGGUGACAAACCGGAGGAAGGUGGGGAUGACGUCAAGUCAUCAUGCCCCUUAUGACCUGGGCUACACACGUGCUACAAUGGGCAGUACAACGAGAAGCGAGCCUGCGAAGGCAAGCGAAUCUCUGAAAGCUGUUCUCAGUUCGGACUGCAGUCUGCAACUCGACUGCACGAAGCUGGAAUCGCUAGUAAUCGCGGAUCAGCACGCCGCGGUGAAUACGUUCCCGGGCCUUGUACACACCGCCCGUCACACCAUGGGAGUCUGCAAUGCCCAAAGCCGGUGGCCUAACCUUCGGGAAGGAGCCGUCUAAGGCAGGGCAGAUGACUGGGGUGAAGUCGUAACAAGGUAACCGUA
Molecule: ribosomal RNA, 1530 nt
Filed under: uncultured bacterium
Lineage: Bacteria
Description: 16S ribosomal RNA
Rfam family: Bacterial small subunit ribosomal RNA
Source: RNAcentral